AGCAAAGAUGAUGAUGCUUUUAUAAUUUCUGACACCUCUUGUAUGAGAAAGAACCUUAAAACAGUUUUCUUCUUUGAACACAUGAAGCAAACCUCUGAGCC
Molecule: small nucleolar RNA, 101 nt
Filed under: Nicotiana sylvestris (wood tobacco)
Lineage: Eukaryota; Viridiplantae; Streptophyta; Magnoliopsida; Solanales; Solanaceae
Also listed under: 1 other name
Description: Small nucleolar RNA snoR1
Rfam family: Small nucleolar RNA snoR1
About the family: snoR1 is a member of the C/D class of snoRNA which contain the C (UGAUGA) and D (CUGA) box motifs. Most of the members of the box C/D family function in directing site-specific 2'-O-methylation of substrate RNAs.
Source: Rfam by way of RNAcentral